GACGAACGCUGGCGGCGUGCUUAACACAUGCAAGUCGAACGGUGAAGCGCCUUCCUUUUUGGUGGGUGUGGAUGAGUGGCGAACGGGUGAGUAACACGUGAGUAACCUGCCCCCUUCUUCUGGAUAACCGCAUGAAAGUGUGGCUAAUACGGGAUAUUCUGGGUCUGUCGCAUGAUGGGUCUGGGAAAGAUAUUGUUUCGGUGGGGGAUGGGCUCGCGGCCUAUCAGCUUGUUGGUGGGGUGAUGGCCUACCAAGGCGGUGACGGGUAGCCGGCCUGAGAGGGUGGACGGUCACACUGGGACUGAGACACGGGCCAGACUCCUACGAGAGGCAGCAGUGGGGAAUAUUGCACAAUGGGCGCAAGCCUGAUGCAGCGACGCCGCGUGAGGGAUGGAGGCCUUCGGGUUGUGAACCUCUUUCGCCAGUGAAGCAGGCCUGCCUCGUUUGUGGGUGGGUUGACGGUAGCUGGAUAAGAAGCGCCGGCUAACUACGUG
This 494-nucleotide ribosomal RNA is filed under the name uncultured bacterium. RNAcentral describes it as "partial 16S ribosomal RNA". It matches the Rfam family "Bacterial small subunit ribosomal RNA", at positions 28 to 507 of the family's 1533-position model. The record is from RNAcentral.